RNAcentral lists this ribosomal RNA (320 nucleotides) under Albinaria spratti. Its description in RNAcentral is "partial large subunit ribosomal RNA". It matches the Rfam family "Bacterial large subunit ribosomal RNA", at positions 1860 to 2485 of the family's 2925-position model. The record is from RNAcentral. Lineage: Eukaryota; Metazoa; Mollusca; Gastropoda; Stylommatophora; Clausiliidae.
UGCCCGGGAAAUUUUUUAACGGCCGCAGUACCCUGACUGUGCAAAGGUAGCAUAAUCAUUUGACUUUUAAUUGGAGCCUAGAAUGAAUGGUAGAACGUAAAUAACUUGUCUCGCCUGCAUUAUUUUGAAAUUAAUAUAUGAGUGAAAAUGCUCAUAAAUUUAAAAAUAGACGAGAAGACCCUUAGAAUUUUAAAAAUAUUGCGGGGAGGCCUUGUAAGAUUUUUUGUUGGGGCAACAAUAUUUCAUAAAAUAAAUAUAUUAUUGGAGGUAUAGGUCGAUUAAAUAAUAAUAAAAAAAUUACCUAAGGGAUAACAGCAUAA